This is a long non-coding RNA of Papaver somniferum (opium poppy), 1677 nucleotides long. RefSeq lists it as uncharacterized. The record is from RefSeq and is a predicted model, not a curated record. The transcript has 7 exons. NCBI's taxonomy places the organism in Eukaryota, Viridiplantae, Streptophyta, Magnoliopsida, Ranunculales, Papaveraceae.
GCAGCCACUUCAUCUUCUCUUCCUUCUGCUCGAGCACCACCAUCACCAUAUCAGUGAUACCAGUGCCACUAUAUACGUUCUUCUUUUUCUUAAAUCAACUUUCCUUAUAACCCUCUUGUUUAUCUCUACAGUAGAACCCUAGAUCCAGGAUUUCUAUUUUUGUUACCUAGGGUUUCGAAUUACAGAGAUGAACAAGAGAUUACUUAGAUCGAUCUACAGGAGGUUGCAUAAUUGAAAAACAAAGGUUGCAAAUCAUUUCGAUUGAUAUACAUGAGGUUCUUCAUCAUUCGAUUACUUCGAUUGAUGAUUGUUUUUACAAGCCAUUAGAAGGUGGACCAGCUAAAAAAAUACCCAAGAGUGUAAAACCAUUGGAUAGUUUAUCUGCUGUUUUAUAUAUUGGCAAAAUUACUGAUUGUUUCUAUGAAAAGGAAAUGGAAGACAAGAUUGCAAGCACAGGCUGUGGUUUUUCCAUACCCAAAUGUAACCUAAUAUAUUUUUGUUCAGGUGACAAUGUCUGGGAUGAACGGGGGUAUGUAUUUGUCUAUCUAGCAUCUCCUUCUAUUUCCUUCCUCUGAAGUCUCACUGACUAAUUUGUCAAUACAAGGGUGUGUCCGCGCUAGAAUGAUGUCUGAAAAUCAAUGAUUUUGAGAUGUAGUCCACAUGCUCGUGUGGCACUAUUAGGUGCAUCAUUCUCAUAUGCCAUCCCGAUCUUUUUACAUACAAGUGGAUGCUAGAUGCUUUCAGUUAAAUUAUUCAACAGGCUUAGAGUAAGAGGAGAGAAACCAAAAUCCAGUCCUUGUUUGUAGUAUCUGAGGAGUUGAUUUUGUAUGUGUUUGUGUAGCUAAAAGUUCCUUGAUAGUCGACCGUGAUGGGAAAAGUAAAGAGAAAGAUCUGCUUGUAGUUUGCUUUGGCGAGAUGUUGAUUGAUUUUGUUCCAACUGUUGGUGGAGUUUCACUUGCAGAAGCACCAGGUGGAGCUCCUGUUAAUGUUGCUGUUGGAAUAACAAGGCUUGGUGGUUCAACAACAUUUGUUUGAACGGUAGGAGAUGAUGAAUUUGGACAUAUGGUGUCCGACAUCUUGAAGCAAAACAAUGUGGAUAAUUCUGGAGUUUGUUUGGACUACAAAGCGUUAACUGCACUGGCAUUUGUAUCACCGAGAGCUGAUGGUGAACUGAGUUUAUGUUUUUCCGCACUCCAAGUGAAGAUAUGCUUCUGUGUGAAUCAGAACUUAAUAAAGACCUUCUGAAGAAGGCAUAUGUCUUUCACUCUGGCUCUGUGAGUUUGAUCGAGGAACCUUGCAGAUCAACACAGCUCGCUGCUAUAAAGAUAGCUAAGAAGGCUGGUUGUAUCCUCUCUUAUGAUCCAAAUUUGAGACUGGCUCGGUGGCCAUUGCCUGCAGCUUCUAAGAAAGAAAUCAUAAGCAAUUAAGGGGAGUGCUAGAAAGGAAACCAUUCGACUCUGCUGCUGCCAUUGUUCUUAUUUCUGCAGCCAUUGUUCUUAUUUCUACGCAAUUACGCUUUGUGGUUUAUUUAUUUUCCUACGCAAGUACGCUUUGAGGUUGUUCUUGAAUCAGACUUUAUAUUGUUGUUGCCGGACAAUUUGCUUACCAUAUUUAUCUUUACUAUAGUUGAAUGUAAUCUGAAUUUCAAGUGCUAAUAAGAUUUUAGAUGUUCAAACA